Molecule: unclassified non-coding RNA, 236 nt
Filed under: Hevea brasiliensis (rubber tree)
Lineage: Eukaryota; Viridiplantae; Streptophyta; Magnoliopsida; Malpighiales; Euphorbiaceae
Source: RNAcentral
CCUGAAGCAAAUACUCUUCAAAACAACCCCUAUGCACAGGUCUGUAUGAAUGUCCUAAUAUUACAAGAUCGACCAUGCAGAUGCAAAAGCAAGGAAAAUUAGAAAAUUUGUAUUUCGUACUACCCUUGUAUUACUUCCCCAAUACAAGUAAUAAAUGAAAGAAUAACACAGCCAUCAAGCCAAAUUCCUCAAACAGAAUUAGAGUUUAACUGCAGCAUAUCUACUUAGACCAAGCA